GCGUAAAGAGCUCGUAGGCGGCUUGUCACGUCGGUUGUGAAAGCCCGGGGCUUAACCCCGGGUCUGCAGUCGAUACGGGCAGGCUAGAGUUCGGUAGGGGAGAUCGGAAUUCCUGGUGUAGCGGUGAAAUGCGCAGAUAUCAGGAGGAACACCGGUGGCGAAGGCGGAUCUCUGGGCCGAUACUGACGCUGAGGAGCGAAAGCGUGGGGAGCGAACAGGAUUAGAUACCCUGGUAGUCCACGCCGUAAACGGUGGGCACUAGGUGUGGGCAACAUUCCACGUUGUCCGUGCCGCAGCUAACGCAUUAAGUGCCCCGCCUGGGGAGUACGGCCGCAAGGCUAAAACUCAAAGGAAUUGACGGGGGCCCGCACAAGCGGCGGAGCAUGUGGCUUAAUUCGACGCAACGCGAAGAACCUUACCAAGGCUUGACAUACACCGGAAACGGCCAGAGAUGGUCGCCCCCUUGUGGUCGGUGUACAGGUGGUGCAUGGCUGUCGUCAGCUCGUGUCGUGAGAUGUUGGGUUAAGUCCCGCAACGAGCGCAACCCUUGUCCCGUGUUGCCAGCAAGCCCUUCGGGGUGUUGGGGACUCACGGGAGACCGCCGGGGUCAACUCGGAGGAAGGUGGGGACGACGUCAAGUCAUCAUGCCCCUUAUGUCUUGGGCUGCACACGUGCUACAAUGGCCGGUACAAUGAGCUGCGAUACCGCGAGGUGGAGCGAAUCUCAAAAAGCCGGUCUCAGUUCGGAUUGGGGUCUGCAACUCGACCCCAUGAAGUCGGAGUCGCUAGUAAUCGCAGAUCAGCAUUGCUGCGGUGAAUACGUUCCCGGGCCUUGUACACACCGCCCGUCACGUCACGAAAGUCGGUAACACCCGAAGCCGGUGGCCCAACCCCUUGUGGGAGGGAGCUGUCGAAGGUGGGACUGGCGAUUGGGACGAAGUCGUAACAAGGUAGCCGUACCGGAAGGUGCGGCUGGAUCACCUCCUUUCUAAGGAGCACUUCUUACCGGGUCCUUCGGGACACGGUCAGAGGCCAGUACAUCGGCGAAUGUCUGAUGCUGGUUGCUCAUGGGUGGAACGUUGACUAUUCGGUCCGGACUCGGGCCGGUGGCUGCCAGUACUGCUCUUCGGAGCGUGGAACGCAUGAUCACCGGACGGGACUUGGCCGGGCACGCUGUUGGGUGUCUGAGGGUACGGCCGUAUGGCUGCCUUCAGUGCCGGCCCCAGUGCACUCGGGAGUCUCCCGGGGUGAUGGGUGGUUGGUCGUUGUUUGAGAACUGCACAGUGGACGCGAGCAUCUGUGGCCAAGUUUUUAAGGGCGCACGGUGGAUGCCUUGGCACCAGGAACCGAUGAAGGACGUGGGAGGCCACGAUAGUCCCCGGGGAGUCGUCAACCAGNNNNNNNNNNCUUCGGGGAAAGGAAAGUGGUGGAGCCGCCGGACCAAGCGGUUAGUAGGUGAGUGAUGGGGUGACGCAGGAAGGUAGUCCAUCCCGGGCGGUGGUUGUCCCGGGGUAAGGGUGUAGGCCGUGCGGUAGGUAAAUCCGUCGCACAUGUGGCUGAGACCUGAUGCCGAGCCGAUUGUGGUGAAGUGGAUGAUCCUAUGCUGUCGAGAAAAGCCUCUAGCGAGUUUCAUGGCGGCCCGUACCCUAAACCGACUCAGGUGGUCAGGUAGAGAAUACCGAGGCGUUCGGGUGAACUAUGGUUAAGGAACUCGGCAAAAUGCCCCCGUAACUUCGGGAGAAGGGGGGCCAUUCCUGGUGAUGAGAUUUUCUCUCUGAGCUGGGGGUGGCCGCAGAGACCAGCGAGAAGCGACUGUUUACUAAAAACACAGGUCCGUGCGAAGCCGUAAGGCGAUGUAUACGGACUGACGCCUGCCCGGUGCUGGAACGUUAAGGGGACCGGUUAGCUCCAUUUCGGUGGGGCGAAGCUGAGAACUUAAGCGCCAGUAAACGGCGGUGGUAACUAUAACCAUCCUAAGGUAGCGAAAUUCCUUGUCGGGUAAGUUCCGACCUGCACGAAUGGCGUAACGACUUCUCGACUGUCUCAACCAUAGGCCCGGUGAAAUUGCACUACGAGUAAAGAUGCUCGUUUCGCGCAGCAGGACGGAAAGACCCCGGGACCUUUACUACAGUUUGAUAUUGGUGUUCGGUUCGGCUUGUGUAGGAUAGCUGGGAGACUGUGAACUCUGGACGCCAGUUCAGGGGGAGUCGUCGUUGAAAUACCAGUCUGGUCGUGCUGGAUGUCUAACCUGGGUCCGUGAUCCGGAUCAGGGACAGUGUCUGAUGGGUAGUUUAACUGGGGCGGUUGCCUCCUAAAGAGUAACGGAGGCGCCCAAAGGUUCCCUCAGCCUGGUUGGCAAUCAGGUGUUGAGUGUAAGUGCACAAGGGAGCUUGACUGUGAGACCGACGGGUCGAGCAGGGACGAAAGUCGGGACUAGUGAUCCGGCGGUGGCUUGUGGAAGCGCCGUCGCUCAACGGAUAAAAGGUACCCCGGGGAUAACAGGCUGAUCUUCCCCAAGAGUCCAUAUCGACGGGAUGGUUUGGCACCUCGAUGUCGGCUCGUCGCAUCCUGGGGCUGGAGUCGGUCCCAAGGGUUGGGCUGUUCGCCCAUUAAAGCGGUACGCGAGCUGGGUUUAGAACGUCGUGAGACAGUUCGGUCCCUAUCCGCUGUGCGCGUAGGAGUCUUGAGAAGGGCUGUCCCUAGUACGAGAGGACCGGGACGGACGAACCUCUGGUGUGCCAGUUGUCCUGCCAAGGGCAUGGCUGGUUGGCUACGUUCGGGAGGGAUAACCGCUGAAAGCAUCUAAGCGGGAAGCCUGCUUCGAGAUGAGGACUCCCACCCCCUUGAGGGGUUAAGGCUCCCAGUAGACGACUGGGUUGAUAGGCCGGAUCUGGAAGCACCGCAAGGUGUGGAGGUGACCGGUACUAAUAGGCCGAGGGCUUGUCCU
RNAcentral lists this ribosomal RNA (2946 nucleotides) under Streptomyces pactum. RNAcentral's name for it is "bacterial LSU rRNA". The stretch from base 1285 to 2946 matches the Rfam family "Bacterial large subunit ribosomal RNA". Lineage: Bacteria; Bacillati; Actinomycetota; Actinomycetes; Kitasatosporales; Streptomycetaceae. The record is from RNAcentral.